RNAcentral lists this long non-coding RNA (441 nucleotides) under Rattus norvegicus (Norway rat). RNAcentral describes it as "long non-coding RNA NONRATT020445". The record is from RNAcentral. Lineage: Eukaryota; Metazoa; Chordata; Mammalia; Rodentia; Muridae.
AAAGACACACAUACACAGAGACAGAGAGUACUGGGAAUGGCACAAGUCUUUUGAAACCACAAAGCCUGCCCCCAGUGACACACUUCCAUCAAUGAGAUCAUACUUCCUUCUACCAACUGGGGGCCAAGUAUUCAAACAUAUGGCUCCUGUGGAGGCCAUUCUCAUUCAAACUACCACAGAAAGUCUGUUGACACUAAGGCGUAGGUCAGUCUUCCACCCAGGACUGGUAGUGCCACCUCGAGCCGUAUGUCACACUCUUCAGUUCCAUCAGCCCGUUUGUCUAGUGCGUGAUGUCCUUAGCUCUUUAAAUUUUCUUUUGGUGCAGUUCCUGGGCUAGCAGCGUCAGCUUUAUGGUGGAGCAACCUCAGCACAGCAGGGUUUUAGUUAAACAUUUCCUCACCUAAAUGGACUUUAGUUUCAGAGCAAAUAAAAAAAAAAAAA